AAAUUUGCCUGAGUAAUUUGCUGAUAGAAUACCCAGGAUCUUUUUACCCCUUUAACUAGUUAAUGAACAUUUCAGUUAAUAGUCCAAGACAGGUUCCAAAUAGGGCAUGUGAGAUGAAUUCCAGAUGUUAAAUGCUUCUUAAUUUUGUCUUUACAUAGCGAUGACUUCAUGCCCAGUUCUAGGAAAUGCUUAAGCAAAUGAACUUCAUUACAUAUCAGGUGUCAUCUUCUGAUGAAUGCAUAGUUUAAAUAGCCUAAAAAUACAUUCUUUAGUGGAUGCAAAUGAUAUUUCUAUAUUUAAAUCCAAAUGGCCUUAUCUGCUUCCCUCAGAAAUGUAAAUAAGGUUUAUUAUCUUGUCAAUGGGAUUUUGUCCAUUAAGGUAUAUUAUCACACUGCUACUAAGAAUUGGCAUAGGAUGUAAAUCGCACUGAUUAUUUUUGUGGAAAGCAUCUGAUCCAGAUACAACUAACAAUUGCCCUUGCAUGAGAAGAAACUAUAAAUCCACUCUGAAUUUUUGAACAUAAUCUCUAUCCAAUAUGUUUAAAGGUUUAAAAAUACAUUGUGGAGAUAGAGUCACUCAAUAGAAUAAAGAAAGCAGAGCUAGUUUGUAAUUAUAGGUAAACUUUUUUUUUUUUUGUCUUUUUAAGGCCGCACCCAUGGCAUAUGGAUGUUCUCAGGCUAGGGGUCUCAUCGGAGCUACAGCUGCCAGCCUGCGCCAGAGCUCAUGGCAACGCCGGAUCCUUUAACCCACUGAGCGUGGCCAGGGAUGGAACACGGAUACUAGUUAGGUUCGUUACCGCUGAGCCAUGACCGGAACUCCACAUAGGUAAACAAUUUUUGAUAAAUUAAAGGGAGCAUUAGAGCAAAUAAAUGUGUACCACAGAGUCCUGUCCACUUAGUUCUGAAUUUUCAGGCCAAGAAGAAUACAGUCGAAUGUUACAGUCAUCACAGCCCUGGGACACAUUGUAACCAGCUGAAGAAAAGUACAGCUCUUGCUUAUCAAACACGUUCUUCUCAUGGAUGCUCAACGCAUCAACAGUAGACCUGUCGUUUAGUCAGUUCCAUAGGCUUCUCUAGAAAUUCGAAGUGCAUGGUUCAAUCUAUCCUCAGGCCUUGGUACCAGUGGCCAGUGAUGCUAGGGAUAAAAUCUGUGCCAAAGAGCAGCAGUGUUAACAGACGCAUCUAGUGAUUUUUCCCCCUUGAGUCAUGGAGAAGGAAGUCCUUGUAAGAGUAGAUGAUACACCCGUAAUUGGUGAUGUGAGACUGACACACUACCUCCUGCACUAAGGAGGCAUCUCAGGUGAUUGGUAAGAGUUGACAGAUAAUAAGAGAGAGAGAAUGAUUUUUAAAGAUCUAUUUCUAUACAUAACUAAAACAACUUUUAUAACCUGUAAAAUAAGUUUUUUUCCUUCUAGCACCGCAGUUGACCUCAGUGAAAAACCCAGUAUUUCUCUGGAAGAAGACGGGAACAAGGCGAGCGCCUUCUCAAAAUAUCCUGAAAAGCAGGAUCAAUUUCUGAGGAAAAGGACCAACUAUGCGACAGGCACUGAGGGUGCACUGGCAUCUAAACAUCUGGGGAAUGCAGUCCCUCACCCUGGAGAUGCCCAGCUGCCGUGGGCGAGGCGAAGGGAGGGGCAGGCCUUGAGCAGAGCUGGCCCUGGAAGAGGUGCCGGGAGACCCGCACGGGAGGAGACCUGAGAGCUGAGUUUUGAAGACUGAGGGAGAAGCCGGGGUUUCCUGAAACCUCAAGAUAGGUCUGGGGUUUCAGACUUGGCGACCUCCUGAAUCAUGACGCCGUUAACCAAGACAGGGAAGGAACAAAGGAGGGCUCCUUUCUGGAAGAAGAUGAGGAGUUCAGAUUUGGCAUUCCUGCUUGAUUCUCCUGCCUUGGUUUUGAUCCCAGGGCGGCGUGGUUGACGGGAACUGGCUUUCACUUCAAGCCGGAUUCAUGGCAUCCUGGCCCUACCAUAUGCGCUAAUGACGUUAAAAUGGACACAUUUCUUACACCCUCGUUUGUAAAUAGGAAUUGAUGAUGCAUACUUCUUAAAGGGUAAGGUUUAAACUGUAACGUAGUAACUAAAUUUGUAAUCCUUUUAGCAAUAUUUCCAGACCUCCCUGAGCACAGUCUGAACCCAAACUGAAUCCACUUUGUUGCUUCAAGUCUUUUUUAAAUUUAGUGAAUGUGUUUUUUCCUGUGAUUUUGUAAUUGAACUAUAGUGGAUUUACAUUUCAGGUGUACAGCAAAGUGAUUCGGUUGUGAUAUACGUAACUGCCGAUUCUUUUCCAUUAUUGGAAAGAGGUGGGGAUGCUACCACCAGAUAGUGAAUGCAGUUCUGUGCUGUAGAAUCGGGCUUUGUUAGUUAUCUAAUUUGUUUAUAGUGUGUGUCUGCUCACCCCAAUCUCCUAAUUUAUCCUGCCCCCACCCUUUCCCCUUUGGUAACCAUACUUUUGUUUUCUCAGUCCGUGAGUCUCUGUUUCAUAUAUAACUUCAUUUGUAUCAUUUUUUUAGAUUCCACAUAUGAGUGAGAUCAUGUGAUACUUGUCUUCGUCUGAUGUAGGUGUAUUCUUUGGAAUAUAAGCUCUAGGUCCAUCCAUGUUGCAUUAUUUCACCCCUUUUGCCACUGAGGGUGAACUUUCUUCUAUUGCCUAUAACCCCAUUCCUCACGCUAUGCGGGCUGAUCUCCUAGUGCCCCCCCUUUUACCUGGAGCUGACUCCCCUUAUUCUCACCACACUUUGUAGCCAGUGUUGAGAAGCAUGCCCCAGCUCCCUGCUGUCUUUAAGCCUCAGGGGAGGGGAUGGGUAAAACCAAGGAUGCAGGAAUCUCCGCAGUUCACAUCUGUAUCAUCUGCUGGGACCACACCUCGCCGAUGCAUUUUGCGCGUUUACAGUCAGGCGCGAACGUCCUUGGUUCUUCAAUCCCCGGCCUCCGUGGGGAGGGAUGUCCUCCCACAGUCCCGGGGCCAAGUCAGGAUACAGAGGGAUGUCAUUCUGCCGGACUGCUCACACGCACAACGUGACAGCUGUUGUAUGACAAGCUGAAGUGGGAGCGUCACAAGCUGGGAAGGAAGAGGAAAUGCUUUCCGGAUUCACUGAAGCACAACUUGAAUAAACACAGAAAGCUGGAGACAAUUAGGGAACUCGGGCUGACAGGCAGCUAUCAGGAACAUCAGGCCAGCCAGGGAACAGUCACAAACAGCACAAUAUCUUUCAGAUAGUUGCGGCCAGUGUUAAUUAAAGAGCAUUUCCUGUGUGCUCAGUUUAGCAAGGACUGCUGGACCACUGAGGGUAUUUUUGGCUACAUGCUCAUGCAGAUUUCAACAGUGCCUCUCUGAGCAGAACGACCACAUGGCUCCCUGCUAAUCUGCCUGUAUUUUCAAAGUAGGGCUUUGUACUCACUCUUCAUUCAGAUAAAAGGACUUCAGCCUCCCCGGGAGAAAAGAGCGCAGCACAGGAGGUUAGUGAGCUGGGCUAUUGGGCCAAAUAGUAGACAACCUAACAGAUUGACACCUAUGGAGGCAAAUGUGCCAUAGCAGAAAAAGUCCCGGGCAGAUGCCAAUCCCAACUCUGCAAUAAGCACAGGGACGCAUAUCCAGUGUCUUGGGACAGACCACGAUGGGAGAUGAUAGAAGAAAAGGAAGGUAUAUGGAUGUAUCACUGGCCACUUUGCUGUAUGGCAGAAAUCAGCACCACACUGUAAAUCAACUACACU
Molecule: non-coding RNA, 3709 nt
Organism: Sus scrofa (pig)
Lineage: Eukaryota; Metazoa; Chordata; Mammalia; Artiodactyla; Suidae
Source: RefSeq, a predicted model, not a curated record